Long non-coding RNA from Ictalurus punctatus (channel catfish), 2041 nucleotides. RefSeq lists it as uncharacterized. NCBI's taxonomy places the organism in Eukaryota, Metazoa, Chordata, Actinopteri, Siluriformes, Ictaluridae. The record is from RefSeq and is a predicted model, not a curated record. The transcript has 2 exons.
ACAUCCGGGGAUUUUAUUAUAGAAUACAUCCAGGGAUUUUAUUAUAGAAUACAUCCGGGGAUUUUAUUAUAGAAUAUAUCCGGGGAUUUUAUUAUAGAAUACAUCCGGGGAUUUUAUUAUAGAAUACAUCCGGGGAUUUUAUUAUAGAAUACAUCCAGGGAUUUUAUUAUAGAAUACAUCCGGGGAUUUUAUUAUAGAAUAUAUCCGGGGAUUUUAUUAUAGAAUACAUCCGGGGAUUUUAUUAUAGAAUACAUCCGGGGAUUUUAUUAUAGAAUACGUCCGGGGAUUUUAUUAUAGAAUACGUCCGGGGAUUUUAUUAUAGAAUACAUCCGGGGAUUUUAUUAUAGAAUAUAUCCGGGGAUUUUAUUAUAGAAUAUAUCCAGGGAUUUAAAAAAAUAUAUACCGUACCUCUUAUUAUUAUAUAUAAUUAUUUUUAUUUAUUUGUUUUCCCCCUGAAUGUUCAGGGUUGAGGGUGGGGCAGGGGGGUGUUUAUAAACGUUUAUAAAUGUUGUGUAUAUAUGACUGGAUUCUCUCGAUGCCAAAAAACACGUGUAGCUGUUCUAGAUCAGGUGUUCACGUGGGCGGCGGGGCCGCGUCCGCAUGCAGGAAAUAGAGAAGAAAAAAAGGAAAGUAUUAAUGAGCCCCGGGUAAUUUUAACGUCCUUCAUAAACAGCAGAGCACCUGUUUAUAAUAACUGCAGUGUGAUGUGUGUAGGUGUGUGUAGAGGUGUGUGUGUGUGUGUGUGUGUAUAGAGGUGUGUGUGUGUGUGUGUGUGUGUGUGUGUAUAGAGGUGUGUGUAGAGGUGUGUGUGUGUGUGUAGAGGUGUGUGUGUGUGUGUGUGUGUGUAGAGGUGUGUGUGUGUGUGUGUGUGUGUGUGUGUGUGUGUGUAGAGGUGUGUGUGUGUGUGUGUGUGUGUGUAUAGAGGUGUGUGUAGAGGUGUGUGUGUGUGUGUAGAGGUGUGUGUGUGUGUGUGUGUGUGUAGAGGUGUGUGUAGAGGUGUGUGUGUGUAGAGGUAGAGGUGUGUGUAGAGGUGUGUGUGUGUGGAGGUAGAGGUGUGUGUAGAGGUGUGUGUGUGUGUGUAGAGGUGUGUGUGUGUGUGUGUGUGUGUAGAGGUGUGUGUGUGUAGAGGUAGAGGUGUGUGUAGAGGUGUGUGUGUGUGUGUAGAGGUGUGUGUGUGUGUGUGUGUGUGUGUGUAGAGGUGUGUGUGUGUGUGUGUAGAGGUGUGUGUGUAGAGGUGUGUGAGAUUGUGUAGAGGUGUGUGUGUGUGUGUGUGUGUGAUUGUGUAGAGGUGUGUGUGUGUGUAUAGAGGUGUGUGUGUGUAUAGAGGUGUGUGUGAUUGUGUAGAGGUGUGUGUGUGUGUGUGUGUAUAGAGGUGUGUGUGUGUAUAGAGGUGUGUGUGAUUGUGUAGAGGUGUGUGUGUGUGUAUAGAGGUGUGUGUGUGUAUAGAGGUGUGUGUGAUUGUGUAGAGGUGUGUGUGUGUGUAUAGAGGUGUGUGUGUGUAUAGAGGUGUGUGUGAUUGUGUAGAGGUGUGUGUGUGUGUAUAGAGGUGUGUGUGUGUAUAGAGGUGUGUGUGAUUGUGUAGAGGUGUGUGUGUGUGUAUAGAGGUGUGUGUGUGUAUAGAGGUGUGUUUGAUUGUGUAGAGGUGUGUGUGUGUAGAGGUAGAGGUGUGUGUAGAGGUGUGUGUGUGUGUGUGUGUGUAGCGGUAGAGGUGUGUGUAGAGGUGUGUGUGUGUAAAGGUGUGUGUGUAGAGGUAGAGGUGUGUGUGUAGAGGUGUGUGUGUGUGUGUGUAGAGGUGUGUGUGUAGAGGUGUGUGUGUGUGUGUGUAGAGGUGUGUGUGUGUAGAGGUAGAGGUGUGUGUAGAGGUGUGUGUGUGUAAAGGUGUGUGUGUAGAGGUGUGUGUGUGUAAAGGUGUGUGUGUAGAGGUAGAGGUGUGUGUGUAGGUGUGUGUGUAGAGGAGCGUGUGUGUAGAGGUGCGUGUGUGUGUGUGUGUGUAUAGAGGUGUGUGUGAUUGUGUAGAGGUGUGUGUGUGUGUGUGUAGAGG